This 903-nucleotide ribosomal RNA is filed under the name uncultured bacterium. Its description in RNAcentral is "bacterial SSU rRNA". It matches the Rfam family "Bacterial small subunit ribosomal RNA", at positions 547 to 1454 of the family's 1533-position model. The record is from RNAcentral.
GGAAUCACUGGGCGUAAGAGCGUGUAGGCGGGUUAUUAAGUCAGAAGUGAAAUCCUAUGGCUCAACCAUAGAACUGCUUUUGAAACUGGUAACCUAGAGUAUGGGAGAGGUAGAUGGAAUUUCUGGUGUAGGGGUAAAAUCCGUAGAGAUCAGAAGGAAUACCGAUUGCGAAGGCGAUCUACUGGAACAUUACUGACGCUGAGACGCGAAAGCGUGGGGAGCAAACAGGAUUAGAUACCCUGGUAGUCCACGCCCUAAACGAUGUACACUAGUUGUUGCCAUGCUAGACAUGGCAGUAAUGCAGUUAACACAUUAAGUGUACCGCCUGGGGAGUACGGUCGCAAGAUUAAAACUCAAAGGAAUAGACGGGGACCCGCACAAGCGGUGGAGCAUGUGGUUUAAUUCGACGAUACGCGAAGAACCUUACCUGGACUUGACAUUUACAGAACUUUCAAGAGAUUGAUUGGUGUCUGCUUGCAGAAACUGUAGGACAGGUGCUGCACGGCUGUCGUCAGCUCGUGUCGUGAGAUGUUGGGUUAAGUCCCGCAACGAGCGCAACCCACGUCGUUAGUUGCUAACAGUUCGGCUGAGAACUCUAACGAGACUGCCUGGGCAACCAGGAGGAAGGUGUGGACGACGUCAAGUCAUCAUGGCCCUUACGUCCAGGGCUACACACGUGCUACAAUGGGGUAUACAAAGAGCCGCGAUACCGCGAGGUGGAGCAAAUCUCAAAAAUAUCUCCCAGUUCGGAUUGUACUCUGCAACUCGAGUGCAUGAAGUUGGAAUCGCUAGUAAUCGUAGAUCAGCAAUGCUACGGUGAAUACGUUCCCGGGUCUUGUACUCACCGCCCGUCACACCAUGGGAGUUGAACUCAUUCGAAGCGGGGAUGCUAAGAUAGCUACC